CUCACGAGAAGGAAACCUACCCUGCGUAGUGUCGGAUCCUCUACAUUCUGCACGCUAAGCAGAGACAAGGAGGAACAAUUUCAAGAAAUUCAAGUAGAAUUCAAGUAGCUACUCUUCAUUAUACUGAACAGUUGAUGGUUCCCACGCUUACUUUGAGACUAUGGGCAGCUCUAUGGGCCAAGGCUCCCAGCCAGCCACUCACUUUGAAGCCUAGUAUCCAGAUCCUGAUAAUAUUUUAUAUGUAGAGAAGAAACAAACUCACUUUGACUCUGCUAAAAGUUGCCUAAACUAUUGACACUUGGCUGCAUCUCCAGGAGUCGUACUGGUGGACCGACCAUGAACCGACCCUGAAUCUGGAAGGUGUGUGCUAGAAUGAUGGAAGAGAAAGAAAGAAAGAGUCUAAAUCCUUGAUGUGGAGCUACCACAUCAGCCCUGUACUCUUCACCUUUGGACUUCUUUUAUAAGCCGUUUAUUUUAGGCUUUCUGAUCUAUGCAGUUGAGCCCAAUAUUAAAUGAUUUCUUAAUCAUUA
Hyaena hyaena (striped hyena) is the source of this 530-nucleotide long non-coding RNA. RefSeq lists it as uncharacterized. The transcript has 2 exons. The record is from RefSeq and is a predicted model, not a curated record. Lineage: Eukaryota; Metazoa; Chordata; Mammalia; Carnivora; Hyaenidae.